This is a small nuclear RNA of Acomys russatus (golden spiny mouse), 108 nucleotides long. NCBI's taxonomy places the organism in Eukaryota, Metazoa, Chordata, Mammalia, Rodentia, Muridae. The record is from RefSeq and is a predicted model, not a curated record.
GAGCUCACUUUUAAUAGCACAUACGCUAAAAUUGGAACAAUAUAGAGAAAAUUAACAUGAGUUCUGUGCAAUAAUGAUACUCAGAUACGUGAAGUAUUCCAUAUUGUU